GACGAACGCUGGCGGCGUGCUUAACACAUGCAAGUCGAACGGAAAGGCCCCUUUGGGGGUACUCGAGUGGCGAACGGGUGAGUAACACGUGAGUAACCUGCCCUUGACUUCGGGAUAACUUCAGGAAACUGGGGCUAAUACCGGAUAGGAAUCCUUGCUGCAUGGUGGGGGUUGGAAAGCUUCGGCGGUUUUGGAUGGACUCGCGGCUUAUCAGCUUGUUGGUGGGGCAGUGGCUUACCAAGGCUUUGACGGGUAGCCGGCCUGAGAGGGCGACCGGCCACAUUGGGACUGAGAUACGGCCCAGACUCCUACGGGAGGCAGCAGUGGGGAAUAUUGCACAAUGGGCGGAAGCCUGAUGCAGCAACGCCGCGUGCGGGAUGACGGCCUUCGGGUUGUAAACCGCUUUCAGCAGGGGCGAAGCUUGUGGUGACGGUACCUGCAGAAGAAGCACCGGCUAACUACGUG
RNAcentral lists this ribosomal RNA (465 nucleotides) under uncultured bacterium. RNAcentral's name for it is "partial 16S ribosomal RNA". It matches the Rfam family "Bacterial small subunit ribosomal RNA", at positions 28 to 507 of the family's 1533-position model. The record is from RNAcentral.